This is a non-coding RNA of Callorhinus ursinus (northern fur seal), 139 nucleotides long. NCBI's taxonomy places the organism in Eukaryota, Metazoa, Chordata, Mammalia, Carnivora, Otariidae. The record is from RefSeq and is a predicted model, not a curated record.
CUGUGUGAAGCAAAACAAACUCCCAAACCUCUAACGAAACGGGACACAACAAAUCAAUGGAAACGCCGCGCUGUUAGAGGCAUAUCCAGCAGAAAACAUCACAUCUCUUCAGGGAGAUACGGAGACCCAGCCAGAGAGG